CUUCUACCGCCACAGCGACAGGGUCAGAUCCUUAACCCAUGGUGCCACAGUGGGAACUCCUAUUUCUUUACACUUUGAUUCUUGGUUUGGCUUUUUGAUUCCUUUGAGCCAGUGAGACAUGAGCAAGCAUGGAAUAAGCAGUGGCAUGACCAAUGCUUGUUCACUGGGACUUCUCUCUUUUGCUAUUUUUGGAACCAAGCUGCCACAUAAAAAAGCCCAGAGUAGCCUGCUAAACACUGGAGGCUUGUGACCUAGUUAUUCAGUUGCCUUAGUCAAUCACCGGACAUGCCCGUGAGCCAUCCAGGACCACCAGCCCCCAGUCAAUCCACCAGCUGACUACUACCAGGUGAGCGGGCCCAGAAAGCUGCCUGUGCUUUAAGGAAGACUGUAUACACCGUCUUUAGAGCCUUUGGGGAAAGAAUGAAGAAUUAUGCUCCCUGGCUGCAUCUAAGAAAACAAACAUACAAAUAAUCAAAAGAAAUAAAAAGAAUCCUACUGGCAAACUCAUCUAGUUAAACUACAUUCCACAGUGGAGGGGCAGGAACAGCUUCUUUCCUCCUUUCCUAGAAGGCAAAAAUAGAGACAAAAGCAGUAAGAAAAGGACAGCAUUAUAGCUUCCUGUUCAGCUAAUAUGAUUGUUUCAUCACAAAUAUUUUUUAGUUGCUGCAGUGCUUCAACAGACAACAUAAACUGAACUAACAGACCAGGAAUUAAGCCAAGAACUCUUCAGAGGCCAUCUGAUUUAAUUCUCCCUGCACUUCUGGGAAGAGAAUGUGCUCUGAUGCCCAUGGUACAAACGAAGAAACUGGACUUAAACCGCUUAAAUAACUUGCCCAGGAGAAUAUUUAACUAGUAAAGUGGUGGGGCUGGAAUUUGAAUCCAGGCAGUCUAGAUUCCAAACCACGGGUCUACACUCUUAACUAAAGUGCUACACUGCUUCCUAAAUGAAGAGCUGGAACAAAA
This is a non-coding RNA of Sus scrofa (pig), 963 nucleotides long. NCBI's taxonomy places the organism in Eukaryota, Metazoa, Chordata, Mammalia, Artiodactyla, Suidae. The record is from RefSeq and is a predicted model, not a curated record.